Molecule: ribosomal RNA, 497 nt
Filed under: uncultured bacterium
Lineage: Bacteria
Description: partial 16S ribosomal RNA
Rfam family: Bacterial small subunit ribosomal RNA
Source: RNAcentral
GAUGAACGCUGGCGGCGUGCCUAAUACAUGCAAGUCGAGCGAACGGACGAGAAGCUUGCUUCUCUGAUGUUAGCGGCGGACGGGUGAGUAACACGUGGAUAACCUACCUAUAAGACUGGGAUAACUUCGGGAAACCGGAGCUAAUACCGGAUAAUAUUUUGAACCGCAUGGUUCAAAAGUGAAAGACGGUCUUGCUGUCACUUAUAGAUGGAUCCGCGCUGCAUUAGCUAGUUGGUAAGGUAACGGCUUACCAAGGCAACGAUGCAUAGCCGACCUGAGAGGGUGAUCGGCCCAACUGGAACUGAGACACGGUCCAGACCCCUACGGGAGGCAGCAGUAGGGAAUCUUCCGCAAUGGGCGAAAGCCUGACGGAGCAACGCCGCGUGAGUGAUGAAGGUCUUCGGAUCGUAAAACUCUGUUAUUAGGGAAGAACAUAUGUGUAAGUAACUGUGCACAUCUUGACGGUACCUAAUCAGAAAGCCACGGCUAACUACGUG